UACAGAGGGGGCAAGCGUUGUUCGGAAUUACUGGGCGUAAAGGGCGCGUAGGCGGCCUGCUAAGUCGAACUUGAAAUCCCCGAGCUCAACUCGGGAACUGCGUCCGAUACUGGCAGGCUUGAAUCCGGGAGAGGGAUGCGGAAUUCCAGGUGUAGCGGUGAAAUGCGUAGAUAUCUGGAGGAACACCAAUUGCGAAGGCAGCUCGCUGGGACGUUACUGACGCUGAGACGCGAAAGCGUGGGGAGCAAACAGG
RNAcentral lists this ribosomal RNA (253 nucleotides) under uncultured bacterium. Its description in RNAcentral is "partial 16S ribosomal RNA". It matches the Rfam family "Bacterial small subunit ribosomal RNA", at positions 524 to 776 of the family's 1533-position model. The record is from RNAcentral.